GGUGUAUAAAUUCAGUUGGUUAGAGUGUGGUGCUGACAACGGCAAGCUUGCAGGUUUGAUCCAGCUGCAUAUUCCU
Non-coding RNA from Podarcis lilfordi (Lilford's wall lizard), 76 nucleotides. The record is from the annotation of a GenBank genome assembly. NCBI's taxonomy places the organism in Eukaryota, Metazoa, Chordata, Lepidosauria, Squamata, Lacertidae.